RNAcentral lists this ribosomal RNA (432 nucleotides) under uncultured bacterium. RNAcentral's name for it is "partial 16S ribosomal RNA". It matches the Rfam family "Bacterial small subunit ribosomal RNA", at positions 29 to 506 of the family's 1533-position model. The record is from RNAcentral.
AACGAACGCUGGCGGCAUGCCUAACACAUGCAAGUCGAACGAGACCUUCGGGUCUAGUGGCGCACGGGUGCGUAACGCGUGGGAACCUGCCCUUAGGUUCGGAAUAACUCCCCGAAAGGGGUGCUAAUACCGGAUAAUGUCUUCGGACCAAAGAUUUAUCGCCUUUGGAUGGGCCCGCGUUGGAUUAGCUAGUUGGUAGGGUAAAAGCCUACCAAGGCGACGAUCCAUAGCUGGUCUGAGAGGAUGAUCAGCCGCACUGGGACUGAGACACGGCCCAGACUCCUACGGGAGGCAGCAGUGGGGAAUAUUGGACAAGGGGCGAAAGCCUGAUCCAGCAAUGCCGCGUGAGUGAUGAAGGCCUUAGGGUUGUAAAGCUCUUUUACCCGGGAUGAUAAUGACAGUACCGGGAGAAUAAGCUCCGGCUAACUCCGU